AAAAUGUUGGGGCAACUACAUUUUUUAAUAGUUUUCCAAAAAAAAAAAAAGAAAAAAAGCUCAAAAGAAUCUUUGUCUUUCGCUUUCUGAUGUCGUGGGGAUUGAAGAAAAAGAGUAAAGAAACAAAAUCGUGGAAGUUGGCCCUCGUCUCUAAUAAAAGUUUAACACGGCUACAAGUUUGAAUUUUGACUCGUCUCUACUUAACCUAUCGUCUUGUAUAUAAAUACAAAGCAGCUUAACACACUAACAACAAAUAAAGCUCAAAGAGUGAUUACAUCUUCUUCAUUACAAAUCAUUCAGCUCUUUCUCUCUCAUCUCGACUCUCUGUGUAACGACCCAACUUUUCUAAGUAAGUCGAGAUCGUUAAUUUUUAACAAAAUAAAAGACUUUGAUUAAUGUAAAACAAAACAUAAGCAAUUUUAAAAAAAAACAUCUUCAAGUCAGGCCUGAUUUUUAAACAUUCAAGAAAACAUAAAAUAAUACUGUUUGCAACAAACGUUUGUAAACUAAAUUUCAAAUCAAUCUUAAUUAAGCGGAAGCAAUUACACGUUUCCUAUGGCAUCACGCUUCCUUCCUACCCCUCGCCGGUUUGCUGCCUUUAUCACCUUUGCCUGAAAAUUAAACAUAAGAAGGGUGAGUAUUUUAAAUACUCAGUAAGAGACCCUCUACUGGUCUCGUCAGGGGAAAAUAAAUUGUUAAAGUUCUAUUGGGACACCCUGUACAGUCGCAGUCUUGUGAUCCCGUAGGAUACACAUUUCAGUCUAACGCCCCGAAGUACGUACAUAUCAGUCUGACGCCCCGAGGGACGUACAUAUCAGUCUAACGCCCCGAGGGACGUACAUAUCAGUCUAACGCCCGAGGGACGUUCAUAUCAGUCUAGUGUUCUGCAGAAACACAUAUCAGUCAAAUGCUCCCGAAGGUGCAAAAUAAAUUGGUGAUCCCGUGGGACACCUACAAGGUAAACAUCCCAAUACAACCUAACAAUUUAUCCCCUCAUUCCAUUCAACCAUCUUUCAGUUACUUCAAAUCACAAAGUCCUUUCUUUCAACAUCCUAACAGUCAACUUAUUUUACUACAAUCAUCUGUCUGUCAAUAAUAUGCUAAUACAUCAGUCAAUCCACUAUACAGUCAAGUCAAUACACCCCUCAGUUCACCAGCACAAACCACAGUUCAGUAUAAUCCACAUCCAACCGAAACAAAUUCACUAGUUCACAUCCAAUCUUUAUACAGCACAAUCUAUUAAUAUCAUCAUGUACACAUAAGCAUAAUUUCAGUCAUUCACAUGUAUACUUUCGGCAAUCCACAUCAAUUCACACAUCAAUGUAUAUAUAUAUGUUUCCAGUCAAAUACAACAUACACUAAACAUUUAGUCUGCAAUCAAACAUAUACAUCUUAAUCAUCAUCCAUACAGUCCAACACAACUCAAAAACUUUAGGUGAGUCCAGUAGAAAACCCCUUACCUUCAAAUUUGUUAAGCUCCUUAACCACGUUGAAGUCUAUGAAGAACGAACCUAAACAUUAAGACAAUUUCUCAAUAAUUCCCUUCAACGCAUCAGUCAUUUAAAUUCAACCCAAUGUGAAUCUUUUUGCAACUUACCCAAAUCUUCGCGAAAGAAAUCGAGCAGUGGCUUUGCGAAGAGAUGACGUGCGACGGAGAGACCGUAUACAGAUGGUCGGAGAGUCGCGCGGCAGUGCAGACAACGGAGGAGAAUGAAUCGACGGCGGCUGGGCUGAAAACAGAGGAGA
RNAcentral lists this long non-coding RNA (1746 nucleotides) under Cucumis sativus (cucumber). RNAcentral describes it as "long non-coding RNA (CSAT_LNC001394)". Lineage: Eukaryota; Viridiplantae; Streptophyta; Magnoliopsida; Cucurbitales; Cucurbitaceae. The record is from RNAcentral.